UCUUGGUCAUUUAGAGGAAGUAAAAGUCGUAACAAGGUUUCCGUAGGUGAACCUGCGGAAGGAUCAUUAUUAAUUCUUCUAGUUAAGCGGCUGCGCGUUUUUUGGAACCGCGGCUGUUUUUCUUGUGAACUGGGGCCUGCUUUUGGAGUUUUACGCUUCUCUGGCGGGCCCGUCGUUAAUGCUCUUGUGUUAAUUUUUUGUUUUUGCUUUUUUUAAGCUUAACCGCUUAGGAAAAAUAAUUACAAGACAACUUUCAGCAAUGGAUCUCUUGGCUCUUGCAUCGAUGAAGAACGCAGCGAAAUGCGAUACGUAGUGUGAAUUGCAGAUUCGUGACUCAUCGAAAUUUUGAACGCACAUUGCACCUAGCGGCCAUUCCGUUAGGUAUGCUUGUUUGAGUGUCUGUCUGAUUUACUCAACUCGCAAAAAAUGUAUUUUUUUUGCAAGUUGGCUUUGGUCUUGGCUCUCGACGCCUUGGCCUUAAAUAAGACAGCGGUCUGCUCUGGUUAAGCUCGCGUGAGCUUGGCAAGUAACCGAAAUCCUAGUCAAGUACUUGGGUGGAAGGAGCUUGUUUGACUCGACGCGCAACUGUUAAUUAAAGAGGCCCUUUUUUUCUUUGAGAAAAAAAAGAUUUCAGUUUUCACAACUGGACCUCAAAUCAAGCAAGGUUACCCGCUGAACUUAAGCAUAUUAAUAAGCGGAGGAAAAGAAACUAACAAGGAUUCCCCGAGUAAUGGCGAAUGAAACGGGAAAAGCCCAAAUUUGAAAUCUCCUAGCUUAACGCUAGGCGAGUUGUAAUUUGUAGAAGGUCUCAUCUGAACUGUGUUUGCUAAAGUCCAUUGGAAAAUGGCGGGCCUUUUGGUCCUCAAGUCGUAGAGGGUGACAACCCCGUUCUUGGCAUUCUACUAGUUCUUUUGUAUGUUUCCUUCAAAGAGUCGGAUUGUUUGGGAAUGCAAUCCAAAACGGGUGGUAAAUUCCAUCCAAGGCUAAAUAUUAGCAAGAGACCGAUAGCGAACAAGUACCGUGAGGGAAAGAUGAAAAGAACUCUGAAGAGAGAGUUCAACAGUACGUGAAAUUGCUGAAAGGGAAACGCUUGAAACGAUUGUUGCUUUUGGCUUCGGCCUUGAGCGAGUCAGUAGCAGUUUUGAACGGUAAAGAAGUGCUUGGAGAAGGUAGUUUUCUUUGGAAAAUGUUAUAGCUCCAGGUAACUGUGCCGGUUAGGACUGAGGAUCGCUUUCAGGUGCCCUGUCGAGGAAUUUUGGGCCGUUAGCGCCAAGGCCUUGGGCUUGCUCAAGACUUGGUGUUAACGGUUCAGGACGACCAAACACAAGGCCCUGAAAUAGGUUACUGACAAAAA
RNAcentral lists this small RNA (1354 nucleotides) under Allomyces arbusculus. RNAcentral's name for it is "eukaryotic LSU rRNA". The stretch from base 646 to 1354 matches the Rfam family "Eukaryotic large subunit ribosomal RNA", at positions 1 to 635 of the family's 3401-position model. The record is from RNAcentral. Lineage: Eukaryota; Fungi; Blastocladiomycota; Blastocladiomycetes; Blastocladiales; Blastocladiaceae.